Molecule: ribosomal RNA, 253 nt
Filed under: uncultured bacterium
Lineage: Bacteria
Description: partial 16S ribosomal RNA
Rfam family: Bacterial small subunit ribosomal RNA
Source: RNAcentral
UACGUAGGGCGCAAGCGUUGUCCGGAAUUAUUGGGCGUAAAGAGCUCGUAGGUGGCGUGUCGCGUCUGCCGUGAAAGCCCAUGGCUUAACUGUGGGUCUGCGGUGGAUACGGGCAGGCUAGAGGCUGGUAGGGGCAAGCGGAAUUCCUGGUGUAGCGGUGAAAUGCGCAGAUAUCAGGAGGAACACCGGUGGCGAAGGCGGCUUGCUGGGCCAGUUCUGACGCUGAGGAGCGAAAGCGUGGGGAGCAAACAGG